AGUAACCUACUAAUCCAAAGAUACACAU
This 28-nucleotide non-coding RNA is filed under the name Rattus norvegicus (Norway rat). The record is from RNAcentral. Lineage: Eukaryota; Metazoa; Chordata; Mammalia; Rodentia; Muridae.